AGAUGUACAUACUAAGGAGAGUUUCAAUGGUAGCCAUACGUGCUGCAUUAAAGCUUCAAUAUGGUGGGGAUGUGGGGGAUGUAAACAAGCCUAGCUGAGCCGGGAUAUGUUGUGUUCGAGCUCGACUCGGAGUUAAACUACCGAGCUUGACUCGGCUCAUUUAUCUUCAGGUGCUUUUGAUGGGUUUUUGGAGCUUUUAGUCGAGCCGGUUGAAGUCUUCCUGGGGCUGUUACGAUGAUGAUCCCCGAAGCAUGGAAAAAUGACAAGAAUAGGGAUCUUCAAAGGAAGGCCUAAUAUAAAUAUUGCUCGACUUUAAUGCAGCCAUGGGGUGGGCCCACUCUAGUUUAACGCGAUGAUUAUUUAACUUGCAGGAAGAUUGUGAAAAAUAUUCAUGAACACAAUGAAGUUUUGAGUUUUUAUUCAUACACUUGUUAGUUUAUUUGUGUUAUAUGUUUAAUCAUUAGACAUAGAUCGACACUUAUUAGACAUUUGGAGUCUUUGAAAGAUUGGUUGAACUUUUAAUUGAAGUGAUUAUU
This 536-nucleotide long non-coding RNA is filed under the name Helianthus annuus (common sunflower). Its description in RNAcentral is "hypothetical non coding rna". The record is from RNAcentral. Lineage: Eukaryota; Viridiplantae; Streptophyta; Magnoliopsida; Asterales; Asteraceae.